This 363-nucleotide long non-coding RNA is filed under the name Homo sapiens (human). RNAcentral's name for it is "HSALNT0309299". The record is from RNAcentral. Lineage: Eukaryota; Metazoa; Chordata; Mammalia; Primates; Hominidae.
GACUGGGCUGUUAGAAAGGUGGCAUGCUGGAUUGUUACAUAAAUUUCCUUCACAAAGCAACUUGAGAGGACGUUGAAUAUCAGUUUCCAUCACAUGGUUCAGCAGGGAUGUUAGUUUGUCCAUGGGGUAGAACUAAGGUGACCUUCUGUCAAGGAACUCAGAUUGGAAAUGAAGAAUAAAACUGGCCGGGCAUGGCGGCCCACGCCUGUAAUCCCAGCACUUUGGGAGGCUGAGGCGUGUGGAUCACGAGGUCAGGAGAUCGAGAACAUCCUGGCUAACACGGUGAAACCCCAUCUCUACUAAGAAUACAAAAACUUAUCUAGGCGUGGUGGCGGGUGCCUGUAGUCCCAGCUACUCAGGAGG